This 553-nucleotide ribosomal RNA is filed under the name Penicillium citreonigrum. RNAcentral describes it as "eukaryotic LSU rRNA". The stretch from base 175 to 328 matches the Rfam family "5.8S ribosomal RNA". The record is from RNAcentral. Lineage: Eukaryota; Fungi; Ascomycota; Eurotiomycetes; Eurotiales; Aspergillaceae.
CUGGCGUAGGAGCCGCAGGGGCCUUACCUCUCCCCCAAUUGGGGGAAGCCCGAGGGUUCCCUGGGAAUUUCCCCGGUUUUAGAAAGGGCAAGGGCCCCCUGGCCCGCGCCCGCCGAAGACACCAUUGAACGCUGUCUGAAGAUUGCAGUCUGAGCAAUUAGUUAAAUAACUUAAAACUUUCAACAACGGAUCUCUUGGUUCCGGCAUCGAUGAAGAACGCAGCGAAAUGCGAUACGUAAUGUGAAUUGCAGAAUUCAGUGAAUCAUCGAGUCUUUGAACGCACAUUGCGCCCCCUGGUAUUCCGGGGGGCAUGCCUGUCCGAGCGUCAUUGCUGCCCUCAAGCACGGCUUGUGUGUUGGGCUCCGUCCUCCUUCCGGGGGGACGGGCCCGAAAGGCAGCGGCGGCACCGCGUCCGGUCCUCGAGCGUAUGGGGCUUCGUCACCCGCUCUGCAGGCCCGGCCGGCGCUUGCCGACACAUCAAUCUUUUUUCCAGGUUGACCUCGGAUCAGGUAGGGAUACCCGCUGAACUUAAGCAUAUCAAUAAGCGGAGGAG